Molecule: ribosomal RNA, 737 nt
Filed under: Alnicola luteolofibrillosa
Lineage: Eukaryota; Fungi; Basidiomycota; Agaricomycetes; Agaricales; Hymenogastraceae
Description: eukaryotic LSU rRNA
Rfam family: 5.8S ribosomal RNA (bases 224-377)
Source: RNAcentral
GUUGUUGCUGGCCCUCUAGGGGGCAUGUGCACACCCGCCAUCCUCAUCUCUCCACCUGUGCACCUCUUGUAGAUCUGGAUAGACUUUCCGAGGCAACUCGGUCGGGAAGAUUGCUGCACUCUGUGAGCCAGCUUUCUUUGCAUGUCCAGGUCUAUGUUUUUCAUAUACCCCUAUAGAAUGUAACAGAAUGUAUCAUCGGGCUUUGUGCCUAUAAACCUAAUACAACUUUCAGCAACGGAUCUCUUGGCUCUCGCAUCGAUGAAGAACGCAGCGAAAUGCGAUAAGUAAUGUGAAUUGCAGAAUUCAGUGAAUCAUCGAAUCUUUGAACGCACCUUGCGCUCCUUGGUAUUCCGAGGAGCAUGCCUGUUUGAGUGUCAUUAAAUUCUCAACCUUAUUAGCUUUUGUUAAUAAUGGAUUGGAUGUGGGGGUUUCUUUUGCUGGUUUCAUCACAGAGAUCAGCUCCCCUUAAAUGCAUUAGCUGGUGCCCCGCGUGGACCAUCUAUUGGUGUGAUAAUUAUCUACGCCGUGGAUGUCUGCAAUUAUAUGGGUUUUGCACUGCUUCUAACCGUCUGUUCAUUCGGACAAUAUUGACAAUUUGACCUCAAAUCAGGUAGGACUACCCGCUGAACUUAAGCAUAUCAAUAAGCGGAGGAAAAGAAACUAACAAGGAUUCCCCUAGUAACUGCGAGUGAAACGGGAAAAGCUCAAAUUUAAAAUCUGGCGGUCUCCGGCCGUCC